RNAcentral lists this ribosomal RNA (205 nucleotides) under uncultured bacterium. RNAcentral describes it as "partial 16S ribosomal RNA". It matches the Rfam family "Bacterial small subunit ribosomal RNA", at positions 568 to 773 of the family's 1533-position model. The record is from RNAcentral.
CGCGUAGGUGGAUCUUCAAGUCGGAUGUGAAAACCGGUGGCUUAACCGCCGGCCUGCAUCUGAUACUGGCGAUCUUGAGUACGGGAGAGGAAAGCGGAAUUCCUGGUGUGGCGGUGAAAUGCGUAGAUAUCAGGAGGAACACCGGUGGCGAAGGCGGCUUUCUGGCCCGAUACUGACACUGAGGCGCGAAGGCCGGGGAGCAACA